AGUCCUUGAUGUCCUACCAAGGAAGACGUCCUCACAUCUUGCAGCAGGAACCCAUUGAUACGGCGCCCACCUUGACUUCCGAAUGGGACAGCGCAUCCUCAGAAGCAACGGUGAUGGCGGUGAUGGCGCCUGCAUCACACAUCGAAGACGCUUGUGCUGAUAGCUCAAGCCCUUGAAAACCCAGCCAAGGUCAGUGUCGUAUCCUCCAGGAAUCCUGGCCGGCAAGAUGUGCUGGAAGUUGCUGCCGCCACCAGAGCCACCUCUGUUGCCGGCCGCCCCAUCCUUGGACCUUCGCCAAGCCAGCCCAGCCAGUCCUCCGAGGGCCGCGACUCCCGCCGUCACUAGUCCCGCUGCUGACCAGCAGCGGCCCCGCACAGGUGCGGUCACCUGUGUCACACGGAUGCUCCUCGGGGCCACGUGGACAUUUCCAGCCCAGGCCGCAGGGGGGCGCUGGCCCAGAGCCUCUGCGCAUGUGCAGCCCCUCCCGAGGCCCACUCGGGGAGGAGGCCGCGCGGGUCUCUGCUGCAGAGAUCCUGAAGGGAUGGAACAGGAAGAGCAGGCUGCUGCCGCGGGCCACGACGGAGAAGGAAUUUCAGGGGAGAAGAAAUUAAGGGAGUCUUGUUCUGAGAGCACCAUUCAGACCUUCUUUCAGGAGGUGAUAUUGGAGGAAAGAAGGUCUCUCUGGGAGGCAGAAGGUGAUGCUGGAAAAGCAGGCCAAUUUAGAGCUUUAUGGAAAACAAGACUGAGGGAUGACUGCUGGCUUCCUUGUCUCCUCUGCAGAUUCCUGAAGUUACGUCUUCUAAAUACUGGUCAGACUUAG
Molecule: long non-coding RNA, 820 nt
Filed under: Canis lupus familiaris (dog)
Lineage: Eukaryota; Metazoa; Chordata; Mammalia; Carnivora; Canidae
Description: lncRNA (ENSCAFG00030001706.1)
Source: RNAcentral